CAGUAGCCACGGGAAUACGGAGGGAGCUAGCGUUGUUCGGAAUUACUGGGCGUAAAGCGCGCGUAGGCGGUUACUCAAGUCAGAGGUGAAAGCCCGGGGCUCAACCCCGGAACUGCCUUUGAAACUAGGUGACUAGAAUCUUGGAGAGGUCAGUGGAAUUCCGAGUGUAGAGGUGAAAUUCGUAGAUAUUCGGAAGAACACCAGUGGCGAAGGCGACUGACUGGACAAGUAUUGACGCUGAGGUGCGAAAGCGUGGGGAGCAAACAGGAUUAGAUACCCCUGUAGUCCCUGUCUCUUAUAC
RNAcentral lists this ribosomal RNA (301 nucleotides) under uncultured bacterium. RNAcentral's name for it is "partial 16S ribosomal RNA". It matches the Rfam family "Bacterial small subunit ribosomal RNA", at positions 509 to 807 of the family's 1533-position model. The record is from RNAcentral.